RNAcentral lists this transfer RNA (74 nucleotides) under Chlorobi bacterium OLB7. RNAcentral's name for it is "tRNA-Met". It matches the Rfam family "tRNA". Rfam says of the family: Transfer RNA (tRNA) molecules are approximately 80 nucleotides in length. Lineage: Bacteria; Pseudomonadati; Chlorobiota. The record is from RNAcentral.
GGGCCCUUAGCUCAACGGUUAGAGCAGUGGACUCAUAAUCCAUUGGUUGGGGGUUCAAAUCCCUCAGGGCCCAC